UACAGAGGUCCCAAGCGUUGUUCGGAUUCACUGGGCGUAAAGGGUGCGUAGGUGGUAGUGUAAGUUCGAUGUGAAAUCUCCGGGCUUAACCCGGAAACGGCAUUGAAUACUAUAUUGCUUGAGGGUCGGAGGGGAGACUGGAAUUCUCGGUGUAGCAGUGAAAUGCGUAGAUAUCGAGAGGAACACCAGUGGCGAAAGCGAGUCUCUGGACGACACCUGACACUGAGGCACGAAAGCUAGGGGAUCAAACAGG
This 253-nucleotide ribosomal RNA is filed under the name uncultured bacterium. RNAcentral describes it as "partial 16S ribosomal RNA". It matches the Rfam family "Bacterial small subunit ribosomal RNA", at positions 524 to 776 of the family's 1533-position model. The record is from RNAcentral.